RNAcentral lists this ribosomal RNA (228 nucleotides) under uncultured bacterium. RNAcentral's name for it is "partial 16S ribosomal RNA". It matches the Rfam family "Bacterial small subunit ribosomal RNA", at positions 568 to 796 of the family's 1533-position model. The record is from RNAcentral.
CAUGUAGGCGGCAUGACAAGUCUGGUGUGAAAUAUCUCGGCUCAACCGAGAAAACGCACUGGAAACUGUCAAGCUUGAGUAUCGGAGGGGAAGCUAGAAUUCCUGGUGUAGGGGUGAAAUCUGUAGAUAUCAGGAAGAAUACCGGUGGCGAAGGCGAGCUUCUGGCCAGAUACUGACGCUGAGAUGCGAAAGCGUGGGGAGCGAACAGGAUUAGAACCCUGGUAGUCC